UUUAAUAUGGCAGAUAAGUGCUAUGAAUUUAAGAUUCAUAAAUUUAGUUUCAAUAACUUUUAUUAAAA
This 68-nucleotide transfer RNA is filed under the name Diadasia hirta. Its description in RNAcentral is "tRNA-Leu". The record is from RNAcentral. Lineage: Eukaryota; Metazoa; Arthropoda; Insecta; Hymenoptera; Apidae.